This is a long non-coding RNA of Telopea speciosissima, 152 nucleotides long. RefSeq lists it as uncharacterized. The record is from RefSeq and is a predicted model, not a curated record. Lineage: Eukaryota; Viridiplantae; Streptophyta; Magnoliopsida; Proteales; Proteaceae. The transcript has 3 exons.
CAUAGUAGCGAUCUUGCGCUGAAAGCGUUCAAUCACAGGAGCAGCAGUCCUGGUCUGAGCCCUAAGACUAGCAGGAGACCUCCAAUCGACACCGUGGCUCCAGCGAGGAACCGAGGAUCGGAUGGAACGGAUAGCAGUACAGAAAGAAAAAA